CUCGUAGGUGGUUUGUCGCGUUGUUCGUGAAAACUCACAGCUCAACUGUGGGCGUGCGGGCGAUACGGGCAGACUUGAGUACUGCAGGGGAGACUGGAAUUCCUGGUGUAGCGGUGGAAUGCGCAGAUAUCAGGAGGAACACCGGUGGCGAAGGCGGGUCUCUGGGCAGUAACUGACGCUGAGGAGCGAAAGCGUGGGAGCGAACA
RNAcentral lists this ribosomal RNA (206 nucleotides) under uncultured bacterium. RNAcentral's name for it is "partial 16S ribosomal RNA". It matches the Rfam family "Bacterial small subunit ribosomal RNA", at positions 568 to 774 of the family's 1533-position model. The record is from RNAcentral.